AGAUUGAACGCUGGCGGCAUGCCUAACACAUGCAAGUCGAACGGGAGUAGCAAUACUCUAGUGGCGGACGGGUGAGGAAUACGUAGGAAUUUGCCCUUAAGUGGGGGAUAACCCGGGGAAACCCGGAUUAAUACCGCAUGACCUCGAAAGAGCAAAGUGGGGGAUCGCAAGACCUCACGCUUUUGGAGAAGCCUACGUCGGAUUAGCUAGUUGGUGAGGUAAUGGCUCACCAAGGCGACGAUCCGUAACUGGUCUGAGAGGAUGAUCAGUCACACCGGAACUGAGACACGGUCCGGACUCCGUACGGGAGGCAG
RNAcentral lists this ribosomal RNA (314 nucleotides) under uncultured soil bacterium. Its description in RNAcentral is "bacterial SSU rRNA". It matches the Rfam family "Bacterial small subunit ribosomal RNA", at positions 26 to 351 of the family's 1533-position model. The record is from RNAcentral.